RNAcentral lists this microRNA precursor (78 nucleotides) under Callorhinchus milii (elephant shark). Its description in RNAcentral is "Cmi-Let-7-P2b4_pre stem-loop". It matches the Rfam family "let-7 microRNA precursor family", at positions 7 to 78 of the family's 84-position model. Rfam says of the family: This family represents the microRNAs (miRNA) let-7 and mir-98. let-7 was identified from a study of developmental timing in C. elegans, and was later shown to be part of a much larger class of non-coding RNAs termed miRNAs. Lineage: Eukaryota; Metazoa; Chordata; Chondrichthyes; Chimaeriformes; Callorhinchidae. The record is from RNAcentral.
UGAGGUAGUAGGUUGUAUAGUUUGAUGGGAGGGAAUUUAAUCCCAUUCUGGUGAUAACUAUACAGUCUAUUGCUUUCC